GCUGGGCUCAGUGGUGCACCUGUAGUCCCAGUUGCUCGGGAGGCUGAGGCAGGAGGAUCACUCCAGCCUAUGAGUUGGAGACCAGCCUGCGCAACGUAGGGAGACCCUGCCUCUU
Molecule: small RNA, 115 nt
Filed under: Marmota monax (woodchuck)
Lineage: Eukaryota; Metazoa; Chordata; Mammalia; Rodentia; Sciuridae
Source: RNAcentral